Molecule: long non-coding RNA, 669 nt
Organism: Gallus gallus (chicken)
Lineage: Eukaryota; Metazoa; Chordata; Aves; Galliformes; Phasianidae
Source: Ensembl
CGCCCCGCCGCUCACGCUGUUGCCGCCGCUCCGCGCCGCCGGUGGCAGUCGCGCCGUCCUCCGGCGGUUACCGAUCUCCGCUUAUUCACUCGCGGCGCGACCUGUCUGUAGGGAGGGUGUGUGUCCCGUCCUGCCAGACGGCGCUGCGCCCUCCUCUCGCGGCAGCAAGCUGGCCAGCGCGCUCAAUCCCUGUAUCCAAUGAAGAUAAUAAAUUCAGAAAGUGAAUUCAGAAUUCUGAUACAUGAGAGUUCACAUCAGAAUUCCCAGCAAACUCAUGAUAUUGCCAAGCCAAGACAAAACUGGUAUUUCCUGAGGUUUCACGUUUCACAGAAUGCAGAGAUAUCUGGUGACCAGGUUCUGGAAGAGCCAGCAGUUUGGAGAGAGUGGAAAAAGGAUUGGUCCCAGGGGAACAGUUGUUACUGAGAGAUACAGCUACCACACAACGUUCAAUUCACAUGUAUCCUGUCUCUACUGAGAGCAAAACUGAAAUCCAGUGUCUGGACAUUAAAGCUAGACAAUUUGCUUGAAACUCACCACCUGUUAUAGUUUUCUUCCCUGAGAUAUUGUCAUGAUGUUCAUCUUCUAUGCUGCACAUCAUCUUUAUAUAUAUUUCAUUUUCCUAUACAGUCUUACUGUAGGAAAGGAAUGUUGUUUCUGCAUUAGAUACUG